Danio rerio (zebrafish) is the source of this 862-nucleotide non-coding RNA. The record is from RefSeq and is a predicted model, not a curated record. Lineage: Eukaryota; Metazoa; Chordata; Actinopteri; Cypriniformes; Danionidae.
UGUAAUAUGAUUGUCCGCUUCAGGAGGAGGAGCAGUUCUUGAUUGUCCUGGAUGAAGCAGACGUCCCAGAAACACCAGCAAACACACUCCGUGACCUCCGACACUCAGAGGUCAAAGGUCAAGACGAGGUUGUCAGUGAGGUUCACCUGGAGGACGCGACUUCAGAGAAACAGAUCCAGCAGGGCACACAAAACAGGUUGGUUGUGGCUUGUUUUGCAUUUGAGGGUGAGGAGGCGGAGCUGUCGUUCAGUGAGGGUGAUGUCAUCACUCUAAUAGAAUAUGUAAAUGAGGAGUGGGGGCGUGGCAGCCUCAACGGACGAACUGGAAUCUUCCCCCUCAGCUUCAUCCAGGCUGCAGAGGAAACUGAAGCGUCGCCAGGGAAACCGGCUCUGGAGUCUCCUGCGCCCCCUGCAGGAGUGAGCAGUAAAGGACGAGCACUUUAUGAUUUCACUGCUGAGUGUGAAGAUGAGCUGUGUCUGAAGGCAGGAGAUAUAGUGUGUGAUCUGGAGGAAAUGGAUGCUGAAUGGUUCCAGGGAGAAUUUGGCGGGAAACGUGGAAUAGUUCCUAAAAACUUCAUCCAGUUGCUGCAGGAGUCGUGAAGUGUGUGUGUGUGUGUGUGUGUGUGUGUGUGUGUGUGUGUGUGUUUGCGUGUGUGCGUGUGUUUGUGUGUGUGUGUGUGUCGUCAGCAUGAUGAGCGUUUCUACACGUAGUCUUAAUUGUCUGUAAUAAACUUUAACGAGGUUAGCGUUGCGAUGCUAGUUAGCGCAUCUCCUGUACUGUACUCACUGUUACUCCACUCUGGGUGGAUUUAUGAAUUUGUUUACAGAGUUUUAACCCAUAUUAAACUCAUCAGUUACAGAUA